This 482-nucleotide ribosomal RNA is filed under the name uncultured bacterium. RNAcentral's name for it is "partial 16S ribosomal RNA". It matches the Rfam family "Bacterial small subunit ribosomal RNA", at positions 29 to 507 of the family's 1533-position model. The record is from RNAcentral.
ACGAACGCUGGCGGCGUGCUUAACACAUGCCAGUCGAACGAUGAAGCGGGUGCUUGCACUCGUGGAUUAGUGGCGAACGGGCGAGUAACACGUGAGUAACCUGUCCUUUUCUUUGGGAUAACGGCUGGAAACGGCUGCUAAUACUGGAUAUUCAGGCUGCAUCGCAUGGUGUGGUUUGGAAAGGUUUUUUCUGGGAUUGGGUGGGCUCGCGGCCUAUCAGCUUGUUGGUGGGGUGAUGGCUUACCAAGGCUUUGACGGGUAGCCGGCCUGAGAGGGUGGUCGGUCGCACUGGGACUGAGAUACGGCCCAGACUCCUACGGGAGGCAGCAGUGGGGAAUAUUGCACAAUGGACGAAAGUUUGAUGCAGCGACGCCGCGUGGAGGGUGUAGGCCUUCGGGUUGUGAACUCCUUUUUCUCGCGAAAAAGGCACAGUUUUGGCUGUGUUGAUGGUAGUGGGGGAAGAAGCGCCGGCUAACUACGUG